Molecule: ribosomal RNA, 264 nt
Filed under: Aplanochytrium stocchinoi
Lineage: Eukaryota; Bigyra; Thraustochytrida; Thraustochytriidae
Description: partial Bacterial small subunit ribosomal RNA
Rfam family: Bacterial small subunit ribosomal RNA
Source: RNAcentral
GUUUGAUCAUGGCUCAGAUUGAACGCUGGCGGCAGGCCUAACACAUGCAAGUCGAGCGGAUGAGAAGAGCUUGCUCUUCGAUUCAGCGGCGGACGGGUGAGUAAUGCCUAGGAAUCUGCCUGGUAGUGGGGGACAACGUUUCGAAAGGAACGCUAAUACCGCAUACGUCCUACGGGAGAAAGCAGGGGACCUUCGGGCCUUGCGCUAUCAGAUGAGCCUAGGUCGGAUUAGCUAAUUGGUGAGGUAAUGGCUCACCAAGGCGAC